This 503-nucleotide ribosomal RNA is filed under the name uncultured bacterium. RNAcentral describes it as "bacterial SSU rRNA". It matches the Rfam family "Bacterial small subunit ribosomal RNA", at positions 28 to 536 of the family's 1533-position model. The record is from RNAcentral.
GAUGAACGCUGGCGGCGUGCCUCAAACAUGCAAGUCGAGCGGGGCUAUGUAAUAUCGCAAGGUAGAACAUAGCCUAGCGGCGAACGGGUGAGUAACACGUGGGUAACCUGCCUGGAAGACAGGGAUAACGAUUCGAAAGGGUCGCUAAUACCUGAUAAUAUCCUUUCAUCGCAUGGUGAUAGGAAGAAAGGGGAAACCCGCUUUCAGAUGGGCCCGCGUCCCAUCAGCUAGUUGGUAAGGUAAAGGCUUACCAAGGCGACGACGGGUAGCCGGUCUGAGAGGAUGUACGGCCACACUGGGACUGAGAUACGGCCCAGACUCCUACGGGAGGCAGCAGUUGGGAAUCUUAGGCAAUGGACGAAAGUCUGACCUAGCGACGCCGCGUGAGGGAAGAAGGCCUUCGGGUUGUAAACCUCUGUCAUGGGGGAAGAAGUAAGUGACGGUACCCCAAGAGGAAGCCCCUGCUAACUACGUGCCAGCAGCCCGCGGUAAAGAGUAGUACA